Molecule: ribosomal RNA, 627 nt
Filed under: uncultured marine eukaryote
Lineage: Eukaryota
Description: SSU rRNA
Rfam family: Eukaryotic small subunit ribosomal RNA
Source: RNAcentral
UGCGGUAAAAAAGCUCGUAGUUGGAUUUCUGCUUGAGAUGACAGGUCCACACAAUGUGUGUGCAUCUGGUUCAGCUUAGGCAUCCUCUCGACAGACGUUUCUGCGCUUGAUUGCGUGGAGCGGAUUUCGGGACUUUUACUUUGAGGAAAUUAGAGUGUUCACGGCAGGCUAUCGCCAGAAUACAUUAGCAUGGAAUAAUACUAUAGGAUCUCGGUUCUAUUUUGUUGGUUUCUAGGAUUGAGAUAAUGAUUAAUAGGGACAAUUGGGGGCAUUCGUAUCAACACGUCAGAGGUGGAAUUCUUGGAUUGUGUUGCGACGAACUACUGCGAAAGCAUUUGCCAAGGAUGUUUUCAUUGAUCAAGAACGAAAGUAAGGGGAUCGAAGACGAUUAGAUACCGUCGUAGUCUUUACCAUAAACUAUGCCAACUCGAGAUGGGGCAUCGUUCACUUACGACUUGCUCUGCACCGUAUGAGAUAUCAUUUAGUUUUUGGGUUCCGGGGGGAGUAUGAUCGCAAGAUUGAAACUUAAAGGAAUUGACGGAAGGGCACCACCAGGAGUGGAGCCUGCGGCUUAAUUUGACUCAACACGGGGAAACUCACCAGGUCCAGACAUAAUAAGGAUUGACA